This 67-nucleotide ribosomal RNA is filed under the name Odontella aurita. Lineage: Eukaryota; Bacillariophyta; Thalassiosirophyceae; Eupodiscales; Odontellaceae. The record is from RNAcentral.
AUAUUCACGAAUUCUUCCGAUCUGAGCCAAAAAGCCACACAUAUUGCAACUUCCUGGGAAACAGAGC